Molecule: antisense RNA, 75 nt
Filed under: Streptomyces oceani
Lineage: Bacteria; Bacillati; Actinomycetota; Actinomycetes; Kitasatosporales; Streptomycetaceae
Description: Streptomyces sp. SCSIO 02100 ASpks TB sRNA
Rfam family: ASpks TB sRNA
Source: Rfam by way of RNAcentral
CUUCAGGGACGCGAGCCACAGCGGCCGCUCCGUGUCGCGCUGCCGCCCGUAGGUCGCCUGCAGCGCCUGCGCCUC